UGGGGAAUAUUGGACAAUGGGCGCAAGCCUGAUCCAGCAAUGCCGCGUGUGUGAAGAAGGCCUUCGGGUUGUAAAGCACUUUUAUCGGGAGCGAAAUACCAUUGGUUAAUAACCGGUGGGGCUGACGGUACCCGAGGAAUAAGCACCGGCUAACUUCGUGCCAGCAGCCGCGGUAAUACGAAGGGUGCAAGCGUUAAUCGGAAUUACUGGGCGUAAAGGGUGCGUAGGCGGUUUGUUAAGGCGGUCGUGAAAUCCCCGGGCUCAACCUGGGAAUGGCGAUGGAUACUGGCAAGCUAGAGUGUGUCAGAGGAUGGUGGAAUUUCCGGUGUAGCGGUGAAAUGCGUAGAGAUCGGAAGGAACAUCAGUGGCGAAGGCGGCCAUCUGGGACAACACUGACGCUGAAGCACGAAAGCGUGGGGAGCAAACA
RNAcentral lists this ribosomal RNA (427 nucleotides) under uncultured prokaryote. RNAcentral's name for it is "bacterial SSU rRNA". It matches the Rfam family "Bacterial small subunit ribosomal RNA", at positions 355 to 774 of the family's 1533-position model. The record is from RNAcentral.